CGCUUUGCGGACGACACUUUGAACGAGAAGCUGACCACAAUGUCUACAGACCCGCAUACGUUAAUGUCGAAUAGAAUGUAAUCUUCCUGUAGUAAACUGCGGACUUCAAAUACUUCGAACCAGUCUGCUACAAUGUUUACAUGGCUCUAAAAGCAUAUGAGUAGAGCUUGGGAUUAUCGCGAAUUUUUGUUCUAGUCAUGGACAAAGAUGAAACAAAUCAUGGUCCUGCUAUAAGUAGUGAAGCAAGCACCUUAUCCACAAAAGAAAAAGAUGAUAGAGCCUUCAAAGCCAAAGCUGCUGCAUUUCUUGCUGGUGUGACUGGUGUCUCAAUUUUGUUUGGGUUUGGGACAACUCUUGCUGCAGCCAAAAAAAAGGAUCCCCAUUUUUUCGAUCAAGGGCUGACCGGACGCUUCGAAAAACAGGCAACAGAACCAACUUCAAGUGAGGCGGCUUCAGCAAUGAGGAGGCGUGGCCCCGUAUCGAUUAGUUCUGCCGAACCGGGCGCGUCUUUGGCUCUUCGAGCCCUCGGUUGGGGCACCGUUUAUGCAGUGACCGGAUGUUCUCUACUAUUUUACGGCAUCUGGAAGCUUAUGGCUGUUAAUGACUUGAAAGAGUUUCGGCUGAAAGUUGGUGGCUGGUUGCCUGCCGUUCCUCGUAACACGCCACAGGGUCGCACGGAAUUCUCGGGCCUCAAUGAUUUGUUGCAGUACAUUAUCGACGUUGACAAGGAGAAGAAAGAGGCGGCCAAGAAAACUGAUGCCAAAUGAUAGUGUGUAUGUGUAUUCAACUAUUUUCGCCAUUCAGUUCAAUGAAUGUCAUUGCUCUCAAAAGAUUUAAGUCCAGUUAACUCAUACAAACAUUGAGAUAGAAUUUGCACUUAGUGACGCGCGAAACGUAUUUUUGAAAGAAGAUCGAGGAAACCGUUAGAGGGGAUAAGAAACGUGGUAAACAUUAAAAAGGGAGAUAGGAUUUAAUGCCAUAAAUUUCCAAGAUUUAAAUUCUUUUCUUUUCUGCUUUUUUCAUCAAGAAGAACCUUUGUACACAUACGGGCACCGAUGCAAUAAGGAUUAACAGUUAAGAUUACAGCUUGUGGAACCUUGAAACAAAAAGAGAACAAAGCAACGGAGAAUGGAUCAUCGAUCUUGAAGAGGGAUCUGAAGAAGGAGGAAAUUUAAUCCAAAGAUGAGCACAUUCAGUGGAAUGGAAGAUUUCAGCGCUGACUGCCUUUGAACCGCCGCCGGUCGAUCACCUAAUCAAUUCGUUGAAAAAGAAUUAUACGUUACCUUCUUUGCCCUUUACAGCCGCAUUACUUUCAGACCACAAACAACAUCAGAAAAAAGUUGCAUGGAUGAUCACAGGAUUCCUGUUGUUGAGCAAUCACCUGAUGUGAAACUUUUUAAAAUCGUUCUGCGAAUGAAACUUUAAAUUCUAAUUGAA
Molecule: RNA transcript, 1437 nt
Organism: Daphnia magna
Lineage: Eukaryota; Metazoa; Arthropoda; Branchiopoda; Diplostraca; Daphniidae
Gene name: transmembrane protein 242
Exons: 5
Source: RefSeq, a predicted model, not a curated record